AUUGAACGCUGGCGGCAGGCCUAACACAUGCAAGUCGAGCGAGCGUCGGACGGGUGAGUAAUGUAUGGGGACUGCCCGAUAGAGGGGGAUAACUACUGGAAACGGUAGCUAAUACCGCAUACUAUCGGAUAACCCAUAUGGGAUUAGCUAGUAGGUUAGGUAAUGGCUCACCUAGGCGACGAUCCCUAGCUGGUCUGAGAGGAUGAUCAGCCACACUGAGACUGGGACACGGCCCAGACUCCUGCGGAGGCAGCAGUGGGGAAUAUUGCACAAUGGGCGCAAGCCUGAUGCAGCCAUACCGCGUGUAUGAAGAAGGCCCUGGGAUUGUAAAAUACUUACAGUCGAGAGGCGUUACCGACAGAAAAUGCGCCGGCUAACUCCGUGCCAGCAGCCGCGGUAAUUC
Molecule: ribosomal RNA, 403 nt
Filed under: uncultured bacterium
Lineage: Bacteria
Description: partial 16S ribosomal RNA
Rfam family: Bacterial small subunit ribosomal RNA
Source: RNAcentral